Carica papaya (papaya) is the source of this 344-nucleotide non-coding RNA. NCBI's taxonomy places the organism in Eukaryota, Viridiplantae, Streptophyta, Magnoliopsida, Brassicales, Caricaceae. The record is from RefSeq and is a predicted model, not a curated record.
CCAUCUGUUGAUUUUCUCUCGUCACGUAUCGUCUGUUUAUUUUAUAUAAUAUUUUUUGGUCUGGACGAUGAUUGCUCGCCAGCUUACUGUGAAAAUGCUUGUGUGGGUGUGUGUAUGAUUUGAGUGGCAUAUGUCUGUUUGCAGCUGGAGUGGAGAAAAGGGAAGGAGAAUCCAUUUGUGAAGAGCAUAAGGGCGAGGUUGAGGCCCAAAGGGAUGCCGUUGAGUAUAGUUCAUGAUGGAGAUGGGUUUCCCCGGAUUAUAUUGACUGAGCCAACUGGGUCAUCUGCAGAGGUACUCUUGUAUGGAGGCCAGGUUGUUUCUUGGAAGAAUGAGAGGAGAGAGGA